GAGGGUAUAGCUCAGUGGUAGACCUAGUGCUUAGCACGCACAAGGUCCUGGGUUCAAUCCCUACUACCUCCA
RNAcentral lists this transfer RNA (72 nucleotides) under Camelus bactrianus (Bactrian camel). It matches the Rfam family "tRNA". Rfam says of the family: Transfer RNA (tRNA) molecules are approximately 80 nucleotides in length. Their secondary structure includes four short double-helical elements and three loops (D, anti-codon, and T loops). The record is from Rfam by way of RNAcentral. RNAcentral also lists the same sequence under 2 other names. Lineage: Eukaryota; Metazoa; Chordata; Mammalia; Artiodactyla; Camelidae.